Molecule: ribosomal RNA, 603 nt
Filed under: Trichoderma paraviridescens
Lineage: Eukaryota; Fungi; Ascomycota; Sordariomycetes; Hypocreales; Hypocreaceae
Description: eukaryotic LSU rRNA
Rfam family: 5.8S ribosomal RNA (bases 219-372)
Source: RNAcentral
CGUCUCAGUCUGGUGACCAGCGGAGGGAUCAUUACCGAGUUUACAACUCCCAAACCCAAUGUGAACCAUACCAAACUGUUGCCUCGGCGGGGUCACGCCCCGGGUGCGUCGCAGCCCCGGAACCAGGCGCCCGCCGGAGGGACCAACCAAACUCUUUCUGUAGUCCCCUCGCGGACGUUAUUUCUUACAGCUCUGAGCAAAAAUUCAAAAUGAAUCAAAACUUUCAACAACGGAUCUCUUGGUUCUGGCAUCGAUGAAGAACGCAGCGAAAUGCGAUAAGUAAUGUGAAUUGCAGAAUUCAGUGAAUCAUCGAAUCUUUGAACGCACAUUGCGCCCGCCAGUAUUCUGGCGGGCAUGCCUGUCCGAGCGUCAUUUCAACCCUCGAACCCCUCCGGGGGUCCGGCGUUGGGGAUCGGGAACCCCUAAGACGGGAUCCCGGCCCCGAAAUACAGUGGCGGUCUCGCCGCAGCCUCUCAUGCGCAGUAGUUUGCACAACUCGCACCGGGAGCGCGGCGCGUCCACGUCCGUAAAACACCCAACUUCUGAAAUGUUGACCUCGGAUCAGGUAGGAAUACCCGCUGAACUUAAGCAUAUCAAAAAAGG